Molecule: ribosomal RNA, 468 nt
Filed under: uncultured bacterium
Lineage: Bacteria
Description: partial 16S ribosomal RNA
Rfam family: Bacterial small subunit ribosomal RNA
Source: RNAcentral
GACGAACGCUGGCGGCGUGCUUAACACAUGCAAGUCGAACGGAAAGGCCCUGCUUUUGUGGGGUGCUCGAGUGGCGAACGGGUGAGUAACACGUGAGUAACCUGCCCUUGACUUUGGGAUAACUUCAGGAAACUGGGGUUAAUACCGGAUAGGAGAUCCUGCUGCAUGGUGGGGGUUGGAAAGUUUCGGCGGUUGGGGAUGGACGCGCGGGUUAUCAGCUUGUUGGUGGGGUAGUGGCUUACCAAGGCUUUGACGGGUAGCCGGCCUGAGAGGGUGACCGGGCACCAUGGGACUGAGAGACGGACCAGACGGCUAUGGGAGGCAGCAGUGGGGAACAUUGCACAAUGGGCGGAAGCCGGAUGCAGCAACGCCGCGUGUGGGAUGACGGCCUGCGGGUUGUGAACAGCUUUCGCCUGAGACGAAGCGUGAGUGACGGUAAUGGGUGAAGAAGCACCGGCUAACUACGUG